Sinocyclocheilus grahami is the source of this 116-nucleotide ribosomal RNA. The record is from Ensembl. NCBI's taxonomy places the organism in Eukaryota, Metazoa, Chordata, Actinopteri, Cypriniformes, Cyprinidae.
UUUGGCAGCCAUAUCACCCUGUAACCCAAGACUGGUCGCCCACUGAAGCUAAGCAGGGUCGAGCUGGUCAGUACCUGGAUGGGAGACUUCCUGGGAAGAAUAGGUUGCUGCUGGAA